Globicephala melas (long-finned pilot whale) is the source of this 4776-nucleotide long non-coding RNA. RefSeq lists it as uncharacterized. The record is from RefSeq and is a predicted model, not a curated record. NCBI's taxonomy places the organism in Eukaryota, Metazoa, Chordata, Mammalia, Artiodactyla, Delphinidae.
GAGAGAGCGGCCCGGGGGCCCCGCCGUACCUUGCCGCUGGCCGUGCCCCCGCUAACGCCGAUCAGGAAGGGCUCGCCGCCGUUGGGCUGCUGGUGGUUCUGCAGGGUCUGCUCGCUGUCCCCAGCCAUGGCUCGCGCCGCCCCUCCUCCCGCUGCCUGUGCGAACGGACGCACGCUCCCCGCCCGCGCCGGGCUCCCUCCGCUUCCCGCAGCCUCCGCUGGGCGCUGCCCAGGUCGAGGCUGACGCGGCUCCCUGCGCACCGCUCGGAUCCCGGUGCUGGAGCUGGCUUUCCCGAAGGAGCCGAGAGCCUUCCUCUGCCCGCUGUGGCCGCCCCGGUUUACAUCCCAGGCAGAGGUCAGCGUGAUGCUGCUGCUCCAAUCCGGGCGGACAGCGCACUGCUAUUCGCCGAGGCAGCGGCGGCGAGGCGUCUGCCCCAGCCUCCGCCCCUCCCGGGCCCCGCCGCCGCCGCCUGGGGUCUCUGGGAAAGGUAUGAGCCCGACCCUUCUCCCAACCCGCCUGGUUAACCCUUUCCGCGACGACGACCUGCGGCGGGACCAAGGGAAAAGAAAGGAGCCUUCUGCGUUUUAAUUGGGUCCCUGAUUAUUGCAAGAGUCAUACCAUUUAGAGAUUAGGAAUUCCAAAGAAUUACCCUGUUAAAUUUCUGGCUGCUUCACCACUUGCUCUGAACCUGAACGUCAUCUUGAAGCUGGCAGAGCUGCGUGAAGCAUUUCCCUUGUGCCCAACUAAGUCCACUGCUUAUUGCUGGCAAGGCUGUGGGACUGUGGCCACUACACUGAAUGGCGCCUGACUCCUCUUGCAGAAGUGAGAUUCUCUUGCAAAACUGAAAACUAUCGAGCGAAAUAAAACACAGCAACAUAAAUUUCCAGGCUCUGAUAUUUUCAUUAGUGAGUUAUACCAAACAUUCAAAGGAGAGUUAAUACCAAGAUUUCACAGGCUCUACCAGAGAGAAGAAAAACGAUGGAACACUAAGCAACUCAUUUUAUGAGACCAGCAGAACUUUAACACCAAAACCUGACAACACGUUACAAGAAUGGAAAAUUAAAGGUUCCUGUGACCUCACUAGAGAAGCAGAAGCUCCUGAUGCCAGAAGACCUCAGGCAGCUGGACGUUGGUGGAUUUGGCCCACACAUCUGUUCAUUGAAGUUACAAUGUUCUCAAUUUCCGAUACUGAUCCUCCAGAGUGGGCCCCAACAAGGGUCCCCCUGCCCAGUGUCAUUGGAGCCAACAGAUCGAGAUUGAGUUUGGUUCAGAAGCAAAGGAAACUUUAUAUUUUGAUCAGAGAAUGGAGAGGAGUUGCCAGUCUGCUACUUGCUAAAGAAGACUAUGUGUCACCCGUACCUGCUGUUGGAAUUUCUCCCUGGGCAGAGAGCACAGGCUCCGGACGCGCAGGCUCAGCGGCCAUGGCUCACGGGCCCAGCCACUCCGCAGCAUGUGGGAUCUUCCCGGACCGGGGCACGAACCCGUGACCCCUGCAUCAGCAGGCGGACUGUCAACCACUGCGCUACAAGGGAAGCCCUCAAGGUGUGCAAGAUGUGUUUUUUUUUUACACCGAGACAUAUAUGUAUUCAUCUUGGGAUCCAUUUGCCAGCAGGCCCACCGCUGGGCCUUUCACCCGAGCAGACCAGAGUCGAGAAGACACAGGCUGGCAAAGGUGCACUGCAGCAAUAUGCACAAAAGCCAAGACAUGGAAGCGACCAAAAUGGCCAUCAGCAGAUGAGUGGACAAAGAAGGAGUGGUCCAUGUGCACAGUGGAAUAUCAGCCGUGGAAAACUAGGAAACACCUACACACAUCUGUUGCUGCACCACAGAUGAUCCUAGAGAUAAUCACAGGACACGAGCAACAACAACAACAAAGUCAUGAAAAAAUGCUCAUCAUGAGGAACUGUUAAAGAUAUGCAAAUCCAAUCUUCACAAACGUAUCAGCUCACACCGGUCAGAAUGACCAUCAGCAAAAAUUCUGCAAACAGUAAAUGCUGAAGGGGCUGUGGAGAAAGGCGUACCCUCAUCUCUAAGUGGGACUAAACUGGGAAGAGCCACUAAUGAAAACAGAACGGACCUGCCUUUAACAGAUACCCAUUGAGGCACCAUAGGACUCAGCAGGCACGCUCCCGGGCCUAUGACCUAAGAAGACACAAUUAGAAAGACACAGGCAGGCAAAGCUGCACUGCAACAGUAUGACAGUAGGCAAGACAGGGAAGCUACCAAAAAGUCCAUCCAAAGAUGAAUGGAAAAGGAGAACUGGUACAUGUACAGAUGGAAUAGUAGCCAAGGAAAAAAAUGAAACAAUGCCGUUUGCAGCACCAUAGAUGAGCCUGGAGGUAAUCACAACAUGAAGUAAGUCAGAGGGCGAAGGACACAUAUCCUGUGAUAUCACUUAAUGGUGUUACCUGAAAAUUGAUACCAAUGAAGAUUUUUCACAGAGCAAGGCAAUCAAAGAUUCGAUCAACAAAUAUAUGGUUAACCAAAUGGAAAGGUUUGAGGACUGGAUAAAUUAGCAUAUUGAGGGAAACAGAGCUACACCAACACAUGUGAAAUAUAUAAGCACCAAGGACCUAUGGAAUACCAAGAGAAGACUACUCAACAUUGUGUCCUAACCCACAUGGGAAAUGGAUCCGAAGGUGAACAGAUAAUAGGCAUAUAUGUGAAAGAACCACAUCUUGCACACCCAGAACAAACAACACAUGGUAAUCAAAUUUGCUGUGAUAACAAAUAAAAAUCAAAUUAAGAAAACCAACAAGAAGUAAUGAGACAUAAACUCAUGGGGGUUUUUCCUGGCCCAUUCCAUUCUAACUUACAGGUUGGAACAUUACACCUAGGAAGGCUGUUUUGCCCUAGUAACCAGAUUUGGGAAUGGAGACAUGCCACAGCCUUGUGACUGUCUCCCGCAAAAGCAGCUUUAAACACAGUGUUCAGGGUCUCUUACUAUCCACAAGAAUUGCACCUCUGUAAAUGACACCUGCCCUCAAAAAAAUCCUGGGUUCGAAUAUCGACGAAAAAAUGCAAAAGAGGGCAAUCUUUCAAGAAGACGAUUUCAAGAGGCACAUUUAACUCACACUCUUUCUUUUUUUCUUUAUUUUCGUUUAACAAAAAAGGCCGUGGAAAAAGCUCCAUAUCAGGAAUUACUAAAGACAUGCAAAUGCAAUCUACAAAAACGUUUACGUGACAACAGUCAGAAUGAUCAUCAGCAGAAAAUCUCCAAACAAUAAAUGCUCAAGGGGUUUCAGACAACUGUAUACCCUCUAGCUGCAGCUGGGAUGUCAAAUGGUAACAGCCAGUAGUGAGAACAGAAAGGAGGUCAAAAUUGAGCUACCAUAUGAUCUGGUCGGCCCACUACUGGCUCUAUCACCUGAGAAGACCAGAAUCGAAAAGACACACGUUGACAAUCCUACACUGGAGCACUAUUUACCCUAGCCACGACUUGGAACAACCAAAAUGUCCAUCAACCGAUGAAUGCACGAAAAAGAAGUGGUCCAUGUACACAACGGAGUAUUACUCCGAUACAAUAAAUACAGUCAAUAUAAAAAACAAACAUAACUAAGGAGACAUAAGCUUUGUGUGUUUAUCCGGGCACAUUCCACUCUAAUUUACAACCAAGGAACACUACUUCCCAGAAGGUACUGUUUCCCUAGUAACUAGAGUAGGCAAUGUAGAAAUGCUGCCGCCCUGUGGCCGUUUGCCGCAACAGCAGUUUUACAACCUGUGCUAAAGGUCACUUCGUAUUCACAAGGACUGCAGGGCUAUAAAUGACACCUGCCAGCAAAAUGUGUUGAGGGAGGUAAUGGCAAAAUAAAUUCAAAAUAUGCCGCAUACUUCAAGAAACUAUUUGAAGGUAAGCUGUACUCACUCUUUAAAAAACAAUAAAAAAUGCAUGGCUAUAAGCUCAAUAUAAGGAAUUAUUAGACAUAUGCAAAUCCAGCCACAAAAUGGUAUCAACUCACACCGGUCAGAAUGACCCUCAGCAAAGAAAUAAAAACAAUACAUGCUGAAGAGGCUGUGAGCAAAUGCACUCUCACCUUUAAGUGGCUCGUAAACUGGUAAGUGCCACUAAUGAAAAGAGAAUGGAGCAGCCUUUAAAAGGUAAACACUAAGAUACCAUAUGAUCCCGGAGGCCCACUCCUUGGCCUAUAACCUAGGAACACGGAAAUGGAAUGACACAUUCAGGCAAAACUGCCCUGCAGCAGUAUUACAAUCGCCAAGACAUGGAAACAACCAAAAAGUCCAUCAAGAUACGAAUGGACAAAGGAGAACUGGCACGUGUACAGAUGGAAUAUGAGCCACGGAAAAAACAUGAAACGAAGCAGUUUGAAGAACCGUAGAUGACUCUGGAGGUGAUCACACAACUUGAAGUAAGUCACAAAGCGAAAGACACAUAUCCUAUGAUAUCAAUUAUAGGUGUUACCUAGAAAUGGAUACCAACGAAGAUAUUUCCACAGAUAAGAGGAAUCGCAGAUUUAUUAAACAAACUUAUGCUUAAUCAAUUGGAAAGUUGUAAAGAUUGGAUAUAUUAGGUUAUUGGGGUUGACAGAGAUAUACAAACACACGUGAAAUAUAUAAUAACCAAAGACCUACAGAAUUCCAAGAGAAGACUACUCAACACUUUGUCAUAACCUACAUGGCUAAUGGAUCCCAGGAUGAAUACAUAUAUGUAUCGGUGCCAGAAACACACACAUCUGGCUCAUGUAGAACACACAAAACAUCAUCAUCAAAUCUGCUGUGAUAAAAAAUAAAAAUUAAAUUAAAAAAACGAACAAGAUA